GGGGGUAUAGCUCAGUGGUAGAACAUGUGCUUAGCAGGUACAAGACCCUGGGUUCGAUCCACAGCACAACCA
This 72-nucleotide transfer RNA is filed under the name Fukomys damarensis (Damara mole-rat). It matches the Rfam family "tRNA". From Rfam's summary of the family: Transfer RNA (tRNA) molecules are approximately 80 nucleotides in length. Lineage: Eukaryota; Metazoa; Chordata; Mammalia; Rodentia; Bathyergidae. The record is from Rfam by way of RNAcentral.